AUUUUCUUAUAGGAAAUUCCUAUAAUAAUUUGGGACUAGACUUGAGAAUUCUUAUAGGAAUUCUUCCUAUUAAAUUCUUAUAGGAAUUCCUGUAGAAAAAAUUCCUAUAGAAUACUAGCCCAAUGCUCUUCCAACUGAGCUACGCGAGUAACAUCACACAAAAAUCUUAUUCACCUGAGUACAUUACACCAACACAGCAGAUUUCACAAAUAUUAGAUUACACUGAUAUCGAAGGAACUAGACUCAGUUCCGAAAUAUCGCUUACUCGAACCGUCGACGUCCUGACCGCGUAGCUCAGUUGGAAGAGCAUUGGGCUAGUAUUCCAAAGGUCGUAGGUUCGAAUCCCGCCGUGGCCAGGCAUAUUUUUCGGGCCUGCCCGGUGUGGAUAUACACUCAGAGUAACAUCACACAAACAUCUUAUUCACCUGAGUGCAUUACACCAACACAGCAGAUUUCAUAAAUAUUAGAUUACACUGAUAUCGAAGGAACUAGACUCAGUUCCGAAAUAUCGCUUACUCGAACCGUCCUGACCGCGUAGCUCAGUUGGAAGAGCAUUGGGCUAGUAUUCCAAAGGUCGUAGGUUCGAAUCCCGCCGUG
Paramuricea clavata is the source of this 597-nucleotide non-coding RNA. NCBI's taxonomy places the organism in Eukaryota, Metazoa, Cnidaria, Anthozoa, Malacalcyonacea, Plexauridae. The record is from the annotation of a GenBank genome assembly.